This is a long non-coding RNA of Equus caballus (horse), 2726 nucleotides long. RefSeq lists it as uncharacterized. Lineage: Eukaryota; Metazoa; Chordata; Mammalia; Perissodactyla; Equidae. The record is from RefSeq and is a predicted model, not a curated record.
CUGUCUGCCGGAGCAGAGCAAGAGGAGAACUCAGGCUGGGGUCAGGCAGCCAGACCCGGCUCUGUGUCUGGGUUCCAGAAAACUCCUUUGCCCUCUGGGCACAGAACUGCCCCCACUCUGGGGCUUGUUGUCCUCCUCAGCCCCCAGUCCACGCUCGGCACUCUUCAGUGGUGGGGAAGGGCAGGGCAGGAGCUGUGACUACAGAUAUUUUCACCUAGAAUCUGCCUUUAUCCUACCACCAUCCCUUGCAGCCCCUCCAUAGGAUUGUCAAGAGGAGUCAUAAAAGGAGGCCUGGUAGGUGCUAGAGGCCUCCGGCCUGUCCCCCAUCUGCAGUUGGACCACUCCCCACUGGGUCUUCAGGUCUGUAUUUGGACCCCUCUGUGGAAAGGGAGCUCACUACUCUGAGGUCUCUGGUGCCAGCUUUGGAGAGGGAAUUAGGGGAAACAAUGGAAUGCUCUUCUCCUGAGUCUGCCUCAUCCCUACUGGGGCAAACCCAGGAGAAAAGAAAGACGGGUGAGGUUGGUGAGUGUUUGGGUGUGUGCUCAUGUUGCACAUAUGUUUAUGUAUAUAUCUGGGUUUUGCUGGGAGAGAGAGAGAAGCUAUGUGCAUGAGCAUGCACGUGUUGGUAAGUGUGGCUCCCUGGUGUGAGCUUGUCUCUUGGGUUUGGGUCUGUGAAUCCCUCUGCGUAUGAGGGUGUAUGCGUCCCUGAGGACAAGUGUGUGUGAGAAAGUUUCUCUGGGUGUGUAUGUGGGUAUCCAUGAUUGUAUGCAUGUGUGGGUGUGAGUGUUCACAUGAGUAUACCCGGGGGGAGUGCACAGGUAGGGAGGCCAGCCCUCAGGCAGGGGGUGCUCGUGCCAACAGAAUAAACACCCAUUAGGAGGCCCGGUCAUGCCACCAGUACAAUAAUUGUGCCCAGGGAGGGUUGUAAAAACCAUUAGGCUGACUCAGUUGGGUGAGAGGCAGUGGCUGGGGAGCCAGUGGGCAGCCCCGUCCCCCUACCUUCAGCUCGGUUCCAGGCUCCGUGACAGUCCUGGGCCCAGCAGGGGCUGACUGUGGGCACCUGCUCUGGCCGGUGGGGCCCCUUCACCCUCACCCCUUGGCCCCUCUCCCUUUCAGCUCACAGUUUCUGCUUAAUGAGGGGCGGCCACUCCCUCCUCCCCAGCUCACUUGCCCCAGGGAACAGCCAGGCUGAAUCACCCCCUGAUGCCAGCGUCACUGCAAGUUGCUGGCAGGAGCUGCUGGAGCCUUUCUCAGGAGCAGCCGGCCUGGGGCAGGGAGCUGGUUGAUAUGACCCCCAAAGCUCCCAGGGUCACAAGGGAGGAUCCUUGAGCCACCAGACCAGGCAGCUGGGGAUUCACCUUCAACUCGCAUGACAGUCCCUACUAGGAGUCAAGGCUAUGUCACCGGAUGGGCAGAGUUAAUGGGCACUGGGACCUUUUAUGGCCCCAUAAAACUGUGACUUUGGGAUGCCAGGGCAGCCCCCACCCCAGCCACUUCCUGUUUGGAAGAGUGAUGGUCAGCACCAGCAAUUAUGUCCAGUGGCUGGACACUUCCCCAGUCCCACAUCCCUGACUCAUGGGGCUACAGGACGCCCACCUCAGCUGCCUCAGGCAUGAGUGUUGCCCACCUCAGGAUCCAUUCUGUCCUUGCCCAGAAAAAUGACCUUCAGGUGGGGAGUGAGAGAUAGAGGGGACAGCGAAUCUUUGAACUAAUUCCUUAGGUGGGUCAGAGGGGAACUGCCGGAGUUGGAAGGAAUCUAUGUGCCAACUGGUCCAACCUGACCAUCUUACAGAUUGGGAAGCUGAGGUCCAGAGCAGAAAGAGCCUGGCCUUAGAUCACACAGGAAGGCAGUGACAGAGCACAGACUCCAACUCUGUCCCUUAGUUAAGGGCCCUGCCCAAGUCACCCCAUAGGGCUGGUGUCACCAUCUGGGGCCCGUCCCACCCUCACAGAUGCUUUCUCUCUGAAGUCAAAUGUAAACUUGGAGUGAGGGAGUGAUGCAACUGGCUAAGAACAACAACCAAAAAAAAAAGCUGUUAGACCUCUUCACUCCUCAGCCCCAUAAAACAGGGAUUACACAGCUCCCAGGAAAAAUAAUUAAGCCAGGAAGAUGAGAUGCAGGGAGGAACUGGGGGCUGGGCGGGGAGCUGGCAAGGAGGAAGGGCCGAGAGGAGCAUGGCAGAGCCCUCACUAACCUCUCUCUGGCCUGGUCCCUUGAAGUGCCUAGAGGACCCUCCCAAAGCUUUAGGGGUUAGGGAGAGUUUGGUCCCCUGACCUGCUGGGAUAUAGGGGCAGCCUGGAUACUGGCUUUGAUGCCUCUUGAAUCCCAGAGACAACUAUCCUCCCUCCUCUCCCUUCCAGAACCUUUGGUGGUGGAUGACCAUACUUUUCCAUUCCUGGCUGGACCACUCUGGCCAUCUUGCCCACUCCUCAUCUGAUGGCAGCUCAAUGAAUAAACAGAGGCUCAGAGAGAUUAAGUAACUUGCCUGAGGUUUCGCAGCUAGUAAAUUCCAGAGCCUGGACUUGAACAAUCUGCUGGACUCUAAGGAUUGCGUGUGUCCCUUCUGCACAUCAUCCUGCCUCCCACAAACCACUUCUCUGUGUUCUUGGCUGAUGUUUAAGCUCCUUUUCUUCCCCUUGAGCUCACACAGGCCCACAUGGGGCCUGGCACACAGGAGGUCGAGUGUCUCUGUUGGUUGAAUGAAUUAAAGUUCAGUUGGAAGGCC